This 981-nucleotide ribosomal RNA is filed under the name uncultured bacterium. RNAcentral describes it as "bacterial SSU rRNA". It matches the Rfam family "Bacterial small subunit ribosomal RNA", at positions 25 to 1009 of the family's 1533-position model. The record is from RNAcentral.
GGGACUAAACGAAUGCUUUACCUUGCAAGACGAACGGCAGCGCGGGGGCAACCCUGGCGGCGAGUGGCGAACGGGUGAGUAAUGUAUCGGAACGUAUCCUGUAAUGGGGGAUAACCAGUCGAAAGAUUGGGUAAUACCGCAUACGCACGAGAGUGGAAAGUGGAGGAUCGCAAGACUUCACGUUAUAGGAGCGGCCGAUAUCUGAUUAGCUAGUUGGUGGGGUAAAGGCCUACCAAGGCGACGAUCAGUAGCAGGUCUGAGAGGAUGAUCUGCCACACUGGGACUGAGACACGGCCCAGACUCCUACGGGAGGCAGCAGUGGGGAAUUUUGGACAAUGGGCGAAAGCCUGAUCCAGCCAUGCCGCGUGCAGGAAGAAGGCCUUCGGGUUGUAAACUGCUUUAGUCCGGGAAAAAGGGGUGCGGGAUUAAUACUCUCGUGCUUUGAUGGUACUGGAAGAAUAAGCACCGGCUAACUACGUGCCAGCAGCCGCGGUAAUACGUAGGGUGCGAGCGUUAAUCGGAAUUACUGGGCGUAAAGCGUGCGCAGGCGGUCUUGUAAGACAGUCGUGAAAUCCCUGGGCUUAACCUAGGAACUGCGAUUGUGACUGCAAGGCUAGAGUGUGUCAGAGGGGGGUGGAAUUCCACGUGUAGCAGUGAAAUGCGUAGAGAUGUGGAGGAACACCGAUGGCGAAGGCAGCCCCCUGGGAUAACACUGACGCUCAUGCACGAAAGCGUGGGGAGCAAACAGGAUUAGAUACCCUGGUAGUCCACGCCCUAAACGAUGUCGACUGGUUGUUGGGUGGGUAACCACUUAGUAACGAAGCUAACGCGUGAAGUCGACCGCCUGGGGAGUACGGUCGCAAGAUUAAAACUCAUAGGAAUUGACGGGGACCCGCACAAGCGGUGGAUGAUGUGGUUUAAUUCGAUGCAACGCGAAAAACCUUACCUACACUUGACUUGUCAGAGAUCCCGCAGAGAUGU